Molecule: long non-coding RNA, 330 nt
Filed under: Setaria viridis
Lineage: Eukaryota; Viridiplantae; Streptophyta; Magnoliopsida; Poales; Poaceae
Description: long non-coding RNA (SVIR_LNC000753)
Source: RNAcentral
GCGCAACCUGGCCGUCCGCCCCGUGCGGCCGCGGUGGACCACGACGAGGCUCCCGAAACGGACGACGACAUGGUCACAUGGAUCCGGCCUGGGAUCCUGGGAUCCCCAGCGAGAGAGAAGCCUCUCGCGCUCCCGGGCAGAGCAGGAGAGAAUAGGGAGGCAGAGAGCCAGGCAGGGCCGCGCGAGCGGAGCACCGGAAAGGCAAGGGCGCAAGGCAGGGGGCGGCCGAAUCCGAGGGUACACGCGCGCGCGGCUGCGCUUUUCCUCAAAAGGAGGACGGGAGCGAGGACGCGACGGCAGCAGGCGCGCGGAGACGACGAGAAAGAAAAC